AUCUUAACGGACAGGUGAUAUAAAAUUUAGUUAGAAGUAAAGAAAACGAAUGAAAAUUUGAAUGUAUGGUUUAUUUAUGAUUGAUGAAAACAAGCCGAAACUUCCACCACAUAUAAAAAGCAUCUGGGAUUGAAUUGAAAAACAAUAAAUAAACAUUAUUUUAUGCUCAUCAAUGAUAUUUCUGGAAUAAAUUUCGCUUUAUCUUAUACCGUUUAAAAGAGUGGUAAGAAAACGGUCCAAAGAUGACAUCUACAAAAUAUUCAUCCCAACGUUUCCUAAAAUAGGAAAAGUAUAAUGAUUAUAACUGCUAUACUAUAAAAGCAUUACUUGUUUGGUUUCUUAAUAUUACUCGGUGAUACUCAUUCAAGGGCUUCCAGCUUUAUGGAAUUUGUAACAUCGGCCGUUCUCCAUAUUUUCAAAUGGAGAUUAUUUAACAUAAUAAGUUAGUUACCGUGAGAGAAUUAUGUUUUUUUCUGUGAUUCUGUCAACAAACCUUUAAAAAAAAAUUUUUUCUUACCAAAAAUGCGUACGGAAAAACGCAAUUAUCACUCUUGACUAUCACUAUUGACCGAGCACAAUUUUGAAUGAAUUUGGAAGAACUAGGCGAUCUACAAGUUGUUCAAGGAAGAAUUUGGUCAACCUAACUUUCAACCAAAUAGGUUUGGUAUCUAUCGUAAUAGAAUUUAAAUAAUUUUUUUUCGAAUUUUAUCGUUCAGUUAGAUUUUAUUAUACCAAUUCCAAUGAAAAUGACGAAUAAUUUUAAGAAUCGUUUUAUGGAAAUAGAAAUUGUGUGGAUUUUACUGAAAGGAAAGCCUAAGAAAUAAUUUUCAAGAAUUAUUAUGCUCCAAUGCGCUCAAUCCCAAGUAUCAAGCAAUCUUUAGUAAGGUAAUGAAGUAGCAGUAUAAUAAUGGCUAAAGAUCACUUCGAAAGAUGCUAUAUUAAAUUGUC
This is a long non-coding RNA of Chrysoperla carnea, 948 nucleotides long. RefSeq lists it as uncharacterized. The record is from RefSeq and is a predicted model, not a curated record. Lineage: Eukaryota; Metazoa; Arthropoda; Insecta; Neuroptera; Chrysopidae. The transcript has 3 exons.